AGAGUUUGAUCCUGGCUCAGGACGAACGCUGGCGGCGUGCCUAAUACAUGCAAGUCGAGCGAACUUCUUCGGAGGUUAGCGGCGGACGGGUGAGUAACACGUGGGCAACCUGCCUGUAAGACUGGGAUAACUCCGGGAAACCGGAGCUAAUACCGGAUAGUAUCUUGAACCGCAUGGUUCAAGUUGGAAAGACGGUUUCGGCUGUCACUUACAGAUGGGCCCGCGGCGCAUUAGCUAGUUGGUGAGGUAAUGGCUCACCAAGGCAACGAUGCGUAGCCGACCUGAGAGGGUGAUCGGCCACACUGGGACUGAGACACGGCCCAGACUCCUACGGGAGGCAGCAGUAGGGAAUCUUCCGCAAUGGACGAAAGUCUGACGGAGCAACGCCGCGUGAGUGAUGAAGGUUUUCGGAUCGUAAAACUCUGUUGUUAGGGAAGAACAAGUGCGAGAGUAACUGCUCGCACCUUGACGGUACCUAACCAGAAAGCCACGGCUAACUACGUGCCAGCAGCCGCGGUAAUACGUAGGUGGCAAGCGUUGUCCGGAAUUAUUGGGCGUAAAGCGCGCGCAGGCGGUUUCUUAAGUCUGAUGUGAAAGCCCCCGGCUCAACCGGGGAGGGUCAUUGGAAACUGGGAAACUUGAGUGCAGAAGAGGAGAGUGGAAUUCCACGUGUAGCGGUGAAAUGCGUAGAGAUGUGGAGGAACACCAGUGGCGAAGGCGACUCUCUGGUCUGUAACUGACGCUGAGGCGCGAAAGCGUGGGGAGCGAACAGGAUUAGAUACCCUGGUAGUCCACGCCGUAAACGAUGAGUGCUAAGUGUUAGAGGGUUUCCGCCCUUUAGUGCUGCAGCUAACGCAUAAGCACUCCGCCUGGGGAGUACGGCCGCAAGGCUGAAACUCAAAGGAAUUGACGG
This 913-nucleotide ribosomal RNA is filed under the name Bacillus sp. (in: firmicutes). Its description in RNAcentral is "bacterial SSU rRNA". It matches the Rfam family "Bacterial small subunit ribosomal RNA", at positions 8 to 916 of the family's 1533-position model. Lineage: Bacteria; Bacillati; Bacillota; Bacilli; Caryophanales; Bacillaceae. The record is from RNAcentral.